This 1239-nucleotide long non-coding RNA is filed under the name Falco tinnunculus (common kestrel). RNAcentral describes it as "lncRNA (ENSFTIG00000002692.1)". The record is from RNAcentral. Lineage: Eukaryota; Metazoa; Chordata; Aves; Falconiformes; Falconidae.
AGCCAGCCUAGCUGCAGUGGGGGAGUGCUUCUAGCAAAACCUGCUGGACUGCAGGGCUGACACACUUGGUGUGUGAAGGGGCUUUCCGUGCCUGCACGCCCAGAACAGGCAGCGUUGCAGGAACACACCCAGGACAGAAAAGCGUGGCAGAGCCCUCCUAUGGCUAGAGGGUGCUGAUGGGGCCUCACAGGGGCUGAUCCAGCAGCUAGGAGUAGUUUGGGUUUAGAAAGACUGUAUUCAGUGCAAUCCCUUGGCAUGCUCCCUCCAGUUAUAGGAUCAAUAACGUAGAUGAGUAUUUGCCUUUGAUGGCACUCCUGAAGGCUGAUGUUAGGUGGCUGGUUGUCACAGCUUUUGUGUAAUGCCAACAUUGCUGAAUGAAACAUGUAGCAUAAGUGGCCCAGAGUGAGGAGGGGCUGGCGCUGAAACCCAUCAGGUAACAGCUUUGUGGGGGAGCUGCAGGUCCUGGCUCUGGGGUGGGACUGGCUCUCCAGGACUUGGGGGCCUGCAGAGCUGGUGGAGAUUUCAAAGGAGUUAGUCGUUAAAAGAAAACCACCAAGUGAACACCAACAGCAAAAGACAAUGCAAACCACUGAAGAACAGGGAAGGGAAACAGCAUGAGAAGGCUCCAGCUGCUUGUGGAAAGCUUUUUGGAUAUGUCCCAGCACAGCACUGCCUCUCAGAAAGAGCCACUCUGCAGCUGUUCGGCUGAUCUCUGUGGACUCUAACAGCCAGCUUCAGCAGUUACUUCUGUUUGAGUGGCAAGGCUGUCAAGUGGAGACCUUCCAGAGGGCAAGGGAGAGCUGGGCAGUGGGUCUUUCAAAUAUAUGGCAAACAUAAAUGCACAUUCUGACAUUCUGUUGUUUUGCAGGAGACUCAGCCCACUGCAUUAUUACUUCUGAAGUGCCAGAGCUUCAGCGCCUGUCUGCCAGCACCUUUCUGUAUACAGCUGUGUAUUAAGUGCCUCAGACAUGGGGAUAAGGAGGAAGGACCACAGUGAAGUCUUGGUUUUUCAGACAGGCAAAAGGAUCAAGGCUUCUAACCAGUCCUGGCUAUGCCUUUGUGCAAGUUCCCAAUGACCAAACGAAGUAUGAGCGCUGGUGUUUUGAGAGAGUGAGGCACAGGAACAGCUGUAGCAUAUCAUCUGCACAAGUCUUGAUUAUGGAAGACAUCAACCUGACCUUCCUCCAUGAAAGUGGCAGGACUUACCUGCAGCCAUGGUUACCCUUUUUUGGAGCUUAA